AGCUCCAAUAGUGUAUAUUAAAGUUGCUGCGGUUAAAAAGCUCGUAGUUGGAUUUCGGAAUGCGCGUGUCAAAGGUCGUCCUUGUGGCGUGCCUGGACAUUCGCUUCCUAUUAUUGGUCAGUGUCCUCCGCAAGGGGGGUAGCGCUGCCAAUCUUUUACUUUGAAAAAAUUAGAGUGUUCAAAGCAGGCGUAACAUUGCCUUUGAAUAUUACAGCAUGGGAUAAUAGAAUAUGACGUUGGUCUUAUUUUGUUGGUUUCUAAGGCUGAUGUAAUGAUUAAUAGGGAUAGUUGGGGUCGCUCGUAUUGAGUUGUCAGAGGUGAAAUUCUAGGAUUUACUCAAGACGGACUAGUGCGAAAGCAUUCGACAAGGAUGUUUUCA
RNAcentral lists this ribosomal RNA (379 nucleotides) under uncultured eukaryote. RNAcentral describes it as "SSU rRNA". It matches the Rfam family "Eukaryotic small subunit ribosomal RNA", at positions 587 to 972 of the family's 1831-position model. The record is from RNAcentral.